This 3915-nucleotide long non-coding RNA is filed under the name Brassica napus (rape). RNAcentral describes it as "long non-coding RNA (BNAP_LNC000668)". Lineage: Eukaryota; Viridiplantae; Streptophyta; Magnoliopsida; Brassicales; Brassicaceae. The record is from RNAcentral.
AGUAUGGGAUGAUUGAAGCCAUUGCACACUUAAUUCACAGAGAUUAUGAUGCCAUAGUAAAAGAUUUUGUCAAACUUGGUUUCAUACCUGAUGGGGUCAAUCUGGCACCUAUAUUACCUGUCCUGGCCAAGGUUUUUGACCAGGCACUUGAAGGUGGAGGAGCUAAAAACAUCAACUUUCAGGAGUUGGCUGCAGAUUUGGCGCAGAUAACUUUUGACUAUCCUUUCAGAAUCCCUCCUUAUUUCGCCCUUAUAAUUAGAGCAAUUGGUGUGCUCGAAGGGAUAGCUCUAGUGGGGAAUCCUGAAUUUGCUAUUGUGGACGAGGCUUAUCCUUAUAUCGCUCAGGUAUUUUUAUAUGAACUCUGUAACUUUUAUCUAGCACACCCUCUUUCACUGAACCUUUACAAAAUACUGAUGAUUGUUUUCUUCAUGUGAUUACCUUAAUACUUAGAGGCUCCUGACCGAUGAAUCUCCUCGCCUGAGGGAGGCUUUACGCUACACAAUAUAUGGGAAGACUGGCGUUUUUGAUGCUGAGAGAUUCAUCGAUGUGAUGCAAGCCUUUGAGACUUUCAUUACAGCAGCCAAAAGUGGAGGAGGAGAAGAUAUGAAUGGGGGCAUGGCUGAGCUGGCUCUUCUGCAAAACCAGACAAGCAGUCGGGUUCCUAUGUUUCCAGCCAGUGCAUCCCAACCAAACCAGCCAGCUCAAACGCGAGUCGCUUUGUCUUUUCUGCUUUCCGAGAAAGGAAACUUCUUCCGCGAGUUUCUACUGGAUGAGGUACUCACUAACAAAAUCUAACCACUUAUUUCGCCUUGUCAGAAAAAUACUCUGAACUAAUUAAAAAAUGAAUGUGAAUCUAGACAAUUAACUUGUUGACAAGCUCAGAGCUACUUAUUCAUGGUGUCCUGAGUUCUGACAGAUGUUGUGAUUACUGAAAACAGAUAGUAAAAGGCAUCGAUGCAAUCACAAGAGAACAGCUGGUGCAAGCAAUGGCGGUCUUUGGAUUCAGAAACGCACCACCAAUUUUCGGUAUGGUACCUUCACUAGGACCUUUCAGACCUGCAGGACUUCUUCCAUCUGUAACAGAAGAAGACAAAGUCAUCUUGAACAAUGUUCAGAAAGUAAUCGAGUUCCUUACUGGAAGAAGCUCCAUGUCGAAUAAUCCCAAUCAGGUUAGUUUCUCUUGGACCUUCUCAUAUAAUUCUGUAUUACCAGAGUACUGAACUUGUGUGUGUUCAUUAUCAUAAAACAGGUAGUAGAUGUAACUCAAGUGGUUCGGGAACUGCUUCCUGUUUUGCCUGGAAUCUCUGUGACAGUAUUGCCGGAUAUUAUGAGUCGGCUUGGGUCAAGAGUAAUGGCUAGAAUAGUUCGAGAUACCUUUUUGUAAAUACUGUUGAGCUUUAGUAUAAUUGUGCCUAUAAGUUGCAUUCUAAAGUACCUAAAAAGAUAUACUAGGAUGAUACCCGCGUUGAAACGCGGUUUUUUUUUAACUUAACCAAUAAAAAUUAUGUAUUAUAUACAAUAGAUUUGUUGUAUUAUUUAAUUUAUUUUAUUUUUAAUUUAAUAUUUGUUCAAUAAAUUAUUCAGGUAAAUUUAUGAGAAAAAGACUAGGAUAGCACCAAACCAAGUUUUUGUUCCCAAAGUAGCACUCAAGGCUCAAAAUCACAAAAAUAGGUUUUAUUAAAGAGGUAAAUAUACACUUAGGUGGGGGUAUUGGUUCUUGAAGUUUGAUGGAAUUUAAAGGAAAUAUAGUUUCUAUUAAAUUCUACUGUUAUUCAAUUAUGAAUUUCAUCAAUUCUUUCACAUUCUUGUGUUAUUGAAUUAAAGAUUUCUAUUCUGAUUUAUAAUUACUUUAAAUUCUACUGUUAUUCAAUAUUUGAUAGAUUUUGUAGUAAUGUCAAUUGAAAAGAAUUUAAUGGAAAAUGUAUUGUCAAUAUGUAAAGAAGCAAUUCCUUAAUUUUAUGAUGAGAUUUGUCAUCCUAGUAAAAUUCUAACGGUGGUAGUAUAACAAAUAUACCGAUAUUUUGAUUUGUACUCCCACCUAAAAACAAAACAAGCGAAUAACAGAAAUAUCUUUUGUAAAUGUUUUCAGAAAAUCCCUACAAAUUAGUACUUAUCAAAACUUCAAAUUGUUGUUGACAAUAAUCAAAUAACUAGAUCUCGACCCGCACAACCGUGCGGAUGAUUAUUUUUAUAUACAUAAUUAUUUAUUUUACAUGGCUAACUAUAAUAUUUAACAUAUUACAAAUUGUUUAAUAUAACAUUUUAGAGUGAAUAUACCGUGACUUUAUUCGCAAGUAAUCUUGUAUAUUAAUUGUAGAAUAUUUUAAAUAAGUUGGUAUGGUUAAUUGUAUCGUAGAUAUGCAUAUCUUGAUAUAUUAGAGGAUAUUCUUCUUAGUUGUUUCGAUAUUUUAUUGCUAAAUUUUAGGACAUUUCAAAUCAGAUUUGAGGGGAAGUUAUAAUUCGAUAAUAUUGUUAGAAUAUCUUUUUUUGAACGUUAUUGUAACAUGAUAAUGUGUAAAUUAGUUGUUUCGAUAUAAGAAAUAAUAUAUAAAAUAUAUCUUAUUUUAUUGUUGCAACAGAAACUUGGUUUUGAAAAAUCUUGUGCGGAUAAUUACUUGGACUGCACAUACGAUAUAUUGGCUAGAUGGUGAUAUGAUAUAUUACCUCUGUCUAAAUGGACCUAAUGAUAUAUUGGCUAGAUGGUGAUAUGAUACGACGGGUUUGAUGGUUCUUUUCAGGUGAGCAUGUUUAAUUUUUACGUGAAACUGACAAAAGCAAUCUGAAACAGAGGUUUUAUGGACUAUUUUAGGUGAAAUUGUCGAGCUGUUAACGACAUGUACAUUAACAAACCAGAACUGUAGAACAGAACUAAACAUAAACGAAAAUAUAUUAGUCUAUGAAGGAAAAUGAUUUCAAAACGAUGGAUUGUGUUUUAUGUUUUAGAUGGUUUACAUUUGCACUAUAUAACGGAUUUCAAAAUGAUUGUUGUGUGGGUCAAAAUUUAUAACCACUCCAAUUUUAUAGGAUCCGAUUAAUAUUAGGAAUGAUAUAUUAUGAAGCCAUAUUAUUAGAAGAUAAAUGAAUGAUAACUGAUUUCUAGGAAUAAGUCCAAUAGGUCCAUUUUUUAAAAUAUCACACAUGAAUCAAGGUUGUGACUUCUGUUUUAAUAUAUAAGAUAUAUAAGCCAUAGAUUCCAAUAAAUUCAUCUAGUGAGUAUAAUGAUUAUCAAGCAGGGACUUGUAGGACCAUUGUGUACCUCAGGUCUACCCACUGCUUAACUAGAUCUAUUGUAAGAUAAGCAAAACUUUUGGCCACCAAAAUACUUCAUCAUGUCAAUUUCUUUUUGACUCUGUCUGUGCUGUUUUCUGGUCAUUCUACAUUGUAGAAUCUACACAAUUUUCAUGUUUUAAGAAGUGAAAAUGUUGUAUAUUUGAAUUCUUCUUGUUAACAGUGGUGCUGUUUUUGUGCUACAGUUGCUUGAUACUGGCUUUUUCCAUGCUGACCCUCAUCCUGGAAAUAUGAUCCGUACCCCAGACGGAAAGCUUGCCAUCCUUGAUUUCGGUAAUGAUUCUAGUUCUAGAGUCACAUUCAGUUGUGUCUGAGAAAAUCCUUUUGUUGACAUUUUAUUUUUCUAUCCAUUGGCAGGUCUUGUUACGAAGUUGACUGAUGAUCAGAAGUAUGGGAUGAUUGAAGCCAUUGCACACUUAAUUCACAGAGAUUAUGAUGCCAUAGUAAAAGAUUUUGUCAAACUUGGUUUCAUCCCUGAUGGGGUCAAUCUGGCACCUAUAUUACCUGUCCUGGCCAAGGUUUUUGACCAGGCACUUGAAGGUGGAGGAGCUAAAAACAUCAACUUUCAGGAGUUGGCUGCAGAUUUGGCGCAGAUAACUUUUGACUAUCCUUUCAGAAUCCCUCCUU